GCAGCAUGGUCUUAGCUUGCUAAGGCUGAUAGCGACCGGCGCACGGGUGAGUAACACGUAUCCAACCUGCCGUCUACUCUUGGCCAGCCUUCUGAAAGGAAGAUUAAUCCAGGAUGGCAUCAUGAGUUCACAUGUCCGCAUGAUUAAAGGUAUUUUCCGGUAGACGAUGGGGAUGCGUUCCAUUAGAUAGUAGGCGGGGUAACGGCCCACCUAGUCAACGAUGGAUAGGGGUUCUGAGAGGAAGGUCCCCCACAUUGGAACUGAGACACGGUCCAAACUCCUACGGGAGGCAGCAGUGAGGAAUAUUGGUCAAUGGGCGAUGGCCUGAACCAGCCAAGUAGCGUGAAGGAUGACUGCCCUAUGGGUUGUAAACUUCUUUUAUAAAGGAAUAAAGUCGGGUAUGCAUACCCGUUUGCAUGUACUUUAUGAAUAAGGAUCGGCUAACUCCGUGCCAGCAGCCGCGGUAAUACGGAGGAUCCGAGCGUUAUCCGGAUUUAUUGGGUUUAAAGGGAGCGUAGAUGGAUGUUUAAGUCAGUUGUGAAAGUUUGCGGCUCAACCGUAAAAUUGCAGUUGAUACUGGAUGUCUUGAGUGCAGUUGAGGCAGGCGGAAUUCGUGGUGUAGCGGUGAAAUGCUUAGAUAUCACGAAGAACUCCGAUUGCGAAGGCAGCCUGCUAAGCUGC
Molecule: ribosomal RNA, 681 nt
Filed under: uncultured Bacteroidales bacterium
Lineage: Bacteria; Pseudomonadati; Bacteroidota; Bacteroidia; Bacteroidales
Description: bacterial SSU rRNA
Rfam family: Bacterial small subunit ribosomal RNA
Source: RNAcentral